Long non-coding RNA from Homarus americanus (American lobster), 1694 nucleotides. RefSeq lists it as uncharacterized. Lineage: Eukaryota; Metazoa; Arthropoda; Malacostraca; Decapoda; Nephropidae. The transcript is spliced from 3 exons. The record is from RefSeq and is a predicted model, not a curated record.
CAUACACACACACACACACCAUCAACAACACUAUACACUUUUGGUUCUUAUCUUAUUAUCUUACUAUAGCAAACUGAUCCUUGUAUGAUAUUGAGAAAAACUACUUACUUAGACCUCAAACUUUAGGGGGUGGUAAUGAGACUCCGAGCCUGUUAUUAGUACAUGGCAUUGAUACAAUAUAAUACAGCCUAAUGCCAUUUGUAUUGGGUAGGGCAUAGUUAAACCUCAAAUGUUUUUUCUGGUUUUAUGUGAUGAGUUUCAAGUGUUAAAACCUCCUGUCACAUGGUCGGCUUUGAAAUUUUUCGAAUAUGCUUGAAAAAAAAUGUAGCUUAACUUUUUAUUUAUAUACCGUACAGAUAAUAUAAAAGCCUUUGUGAUAUAGUGUAGGUUGUUUAUAAAGUGCUGCUAUAGUGUACUAGGUUGUUUAUAAAGUGCUGCUAUAGUGUGCUAGGUUGUUUAUAAAGUGCUGCUAUAGUGUGCUAGGUUGUUUAUAAAGUGCUGCUAUAGUGUGCUAGGUUGUUUAUAAAGUGCUGCUAUAGUGUGCUAGGUUGUUUAUAAAGUGCUGCUAUAGUGUGCUAGGUUGUUUAUAAAGUGCUGCUAUAGUGUGCUAGGUUGUUUAUAAAGUGCUGCUAUAGUGUGCUAGGUUGUUUAUAAAGUGCUGCUAUAGUGUGCUAGGUUGUUUAUAAAGUGCUGCUAUAGUGUGCUAGGUUGUUUAUAAAGUGCUGCUAUAGUGUGCUAGGUUGUUUAUAAAGUGCUGCUAUAGUGUGCUAGGUUGUUUAUGAAGUGCUGCUAUAGUGUUCUAGGUUGUUUAUAAAGUGCUGCUAUAGUGUGCUAGGUUGUUUAUAAAGUGCUGCUAUAGUGUGCUAGGUUGUUUAUAAAGUGCUGCUAUAGUGUGCUAGGUUGUUUAUAAAGUGCUGCUAUAGUGUGCUAGGUUGUUUAUAAAGUGCUGCUAUAGUGUGCUAGGUUGUUUAUAAAGUGCUGCUAUAGUGUGCUAGGUUGUUUAUAAAGUGCUGCUAUAGUGUGCUAGGUUGUUUAUAAAGUGCUGCUAUAGUGUGCUAGGUUGUUUAUAAAGUGCUGCUAUAGUGUGCUAGGUUGUUUAUAAAGUGCUGCUAUAGUGUGCUAGGUUGUUUAUAAAGUGCUGCUAUAGUGUGCUAGGUUGUUUAUAAAGUGCUGCUAUAGUGUGCUAGGUUGUUUAUAAAGUGCUGCUAUAGUGUGCUAGGUUGUUUAUGAAGUGCUGCUAUAGUGUUCUAGGUUGUUUAUAAAGUGCUGCUAUAGUGUGCUAGGUUGUUUAUAAAGUGCUGCUAUAGUGUGCUAGGUUGUUUAUAAAGUGCUGCUAUAGUGUGCUAGGUUGUUUAUAAAGUGCUGCUAUAGUGUGCUAGGUUGUUUAUGAAGUGCUGCUAUAGUGUUCUAGGUUGAUUAUAAAGUAUUUUCGUUGGUUAUUUGGUAUCUUAAGAAGUGUGAUGUGCCCUCACCCUGGCUGGAACCUUCAAAUAUGGUACGUCAUGCAAUGGAGGAGGAGGAGGGGGGGGGGCAGUGUUGCUCGUCUCAUCUGUCAGUGAACGGCUAAACCUACAGAGUAAGGCAAUGUUAAGAUCCAGGAGAAACGGCUUCUGGGCGAAUAUCUUCAAUUUACAACUAGUAAUUAAUUAAGCUGGGGUGCUCGAUGUCGAUGGAGGGAAGCGCCAACCACGUUA